Molecule: unclassified non-coding RNA, 10562 nt
Filed under: Anthonomus grandis grandis
Lineage: Eukaryota; Metazoa; Arthropoda; Insecta; Coleoptera; Curculionidae
Description: semaphorin-1A
Source: RNAcentral
AAUUCUCUCUCGAUCUCGGUCUGUCUCUCUUCAGCGUCGUCCCGAAGGCCCCCGGGGCCCUCUCCCCCGCGACACCGAGCAAGCGCCGUACGCGUCGUCGAUAUGCACUGGCAAUGUGUCCCGUUUAACGUUAAAUAAUUUAGAAACGAAAAUAUCGUGUGCGUUUUUGUGUGUCGAGUACGCGUCGUCCAAAGAAACAAGAAAGACAAAAAAAAAAGAAACAAAACGUUUUCUUGUCUAAAUCGUUUGGUAAAUCCCCCAUCGGUUAGUUCGGCGAGUGUCUGUCUCUUUUGGGUUGAAAAGUGCGUUUGUUUACAUGCCUGUAUUUGGGUGACUAUAUUAUAGUGUGGUUCCGUUUGUUUUUUUCUCGUUCACCCAAGUAUUUUGGAUAUUAUCCUUCUUCCAGGCCUUUCAGUCACUUGAUUUAAAUUCCCGGCGCCACCGUCGUCGGAUCGAGUCGGGAGUAGGGAUAGUCAUCAGCUGGACCCGUCGCGACGACGUGCGUCGCUUCUCCCUUAUCCAGUCGACGUCAGGCGUCUGUUUGUUCCCGAUCGACGUCACGCGGGCGUCGCAACGCGCAUCUUCGUGUCGUUCAGAAAUUUUGAUUUAAAAAAAAAAAUUAAUUUAGAUCGGGUGAGCGGGAGUGCCAUUGGACGACGACGAUAUGUUGUGAUAACUGUACCGGUGGUUAUUUUGUGAUUAAAAAAGAGGAAUGUAAUGAUUUUUGGAUAGAAAGGGGUUGUUUUUUGUUUUUUUUUGGUUGUUGGUUGAAGAAGGAGAAGAGAAAAUGCAGGGUGUUCUUUUGGUGGCUGUGCUAACUGGAUUUGUUUGGCCGGGAUGUUUCGGUUCUUGGCAGGAGAACGUCAGGCCGAAGAUGUAUGUUCAAUUAGGUGCCGAAGAUGAUCUCCAUCGCUUCGUAGGCAACGACACCCACACGGACUACUUCAGAUUAGUGUUAAGGGAUGGGGAAUCCCUUCUGGUGGGCGGCAGAAACGUCGUCUACAAUCUGACCUUUUCCGAUUUAACGGAGCAACAAAGGCUGAUUUGGUACUCGAACGAACAUGACGCCAAAAUGUGCGUUAUGAAGGGUAAAGACGAGGAAAAAUGCCAAAAUUAUAUCCGCAUAAUGGCGAAAAGUGCCCAGGGCCGUUUAUUGCUGUGUGGAACGAACGCGUUCAAACCGGUUUGCAGGGAGUACAACGUCCUCAAUAAGAAUUACACCGCCGAAAAGGAGAAACCGGGUCAGGCGGUCUGCCCUUACGAUCCCCAUCAUAAUUCAACGGCGAUUUAUGUGGAUGGGGAUCUGUACACGGGCACCGUGGCCGAUUUUAGCGGCAUGGAUCCCAUUAUCUACAGGGAACCGCUACAAACCGAACAAUACGACUCGAUGAGCCUGAACGCUCCCGACUUCGUUGGAUCGAUGACCCAGGGAGACUUCGUGUACUUUUUUUUCCGAGAGACCGCCGUGGAAUACAUCAAUUGCGGCAAGGCGGUUUUCUCGAGGGUGGCCCGUGUAUGUAAAAACGACAGGGGCGGCCCACACAGGUUCAGAAAUCGAUGGACCUCCUUCCUGAAAUCCCGACUAAACUGCUCGGUCACCGGUGAAUUUCCGUUCUACUUUAACGAAAUACAAUCCACGACGGAACUGAUCGAAGGCAAAUACGGCGACGUGUCGGCCCAAUUGAUCUACGGCACCUUCACCACCCCCUCGAACAGCAUCUCGGGGAGCGCGGUGUGCGCCUUCAGUCUCCAAGACAUCACCAGCUCGUUCGAGGGCAAUUUCAAGGAACAGGCGGCCAUCAACACCAACUGGUUGCCGGUACCGAGCAACAAAGUGCCGGACCCGAGACCCGGACAGUGCCAUAACGACAGCAGAACCUUGCCGGACUUAACGUUAAACUUUAUCAAGUCCCACUCGUUGAUGGACGAGAGCGUACCGUCCUUUUUUGGGCAACCGAUCGUUAUUCGCUCGAGUUUUCACUAUCGGUUUACCCAAAUAGCCGUCGACCCCCAAGUGAAAGUACCGGGAGGGAAGACCUACGACGUCCUUUUUAUUGGCACAGAUAAUGGGAAAAUAAUCAAAGCGGUGAACGGAAUGUCGGCGGAGACCCGUCACGGGGUCCGCACGGUCGUGGUGGAGGAGAUCCAGGUGUUCCCGGUCCACGUGCCCGUUCGCAGUAUAAAAAUCAUGAGAUCCAACGGGGCGGGCAAAGGGGGCGGCGGCGAGGGGGGCGGCCGAUUAAUCGUCGUCUCGGACAGCGAGGUGCAAUCGCUCCGGUUGCACCGCUGCGACAGCAAUAAAAUCUCGAGCUGCAGUGAAUGUGUGGCCCUCCAAGAUCCCUACUGCGCGUGGGACAAAGUCCAGGGCAAAUGUCGUUCCAGAGGUUCCGGGAGAUGGGGCGAGGAGAGUUACUUCUUCCAGAGUGUGUCCACGGGGGAGCACACCGCCUGUCCGCCAUUAAAAAGCAAAGAUGCCGGUUACGUGGGCGGUUUGAGCUCGAAUCAGCCCAAAUUCAACGAGCACAUGCCCAAUAAGGACCAGCCCGACGGUCAAAUAAUUAAUAUUAUGCAGGAUAAACCUAAUGAGAAUAUUGGUCCGUCAGUGACAGCUACUGACGCUUUAGUAAACCAGUACACGGUGGAAACGCUCAUCAUGGCAGUGGUGGCGGGUGCAGUUUCCGCCCUCGUCGUCGGAUUUAUCGCCGGGUAUCUUUGCGGCAGGAAGUGCCAUAAGGAUGAAGACGAUAAUUUACCGUAUCCGGAUACGGAGUACGAGUAUUUUGAGCAGCGGCAGAAUAUGAACAGUCGCAUCACGGCCGAACCGAAACUGCUGCCGCAAGAAGAGGUGACGUACGCGGAGCCGGUACUCGUGCCGCAACCGCCCCCAAAAAACUACUCGCCGAAGAGUACCCUGCGCAAGGGGGCCGGGGGCGGGCCGGGGCUCCAGAACAACGCCGAGACCCUGUUCCAGUUUCAGGCGGACGGCGGGUACAACGGCCGCGGGGACGCUUUUAGGGGACGAGACAAUUUCGGCACCCUCCGGUCUCAUCAGGGCGACCAGUUCCGUCGACCGGACGGAUUCGCGACCACGCGCAGCGUAAAGAAAGUCUAUCUCUGAGAAAACAGUAGCGAGGAGGGCGCCGGAGGAGGCGUCCGCCGCGGCGGUAACCAGACGGCGCCGCCUCCUCACCACCAUCACCACCUGCACGCCGCCGCCGCCGCCGCCGCCGCCCCUCACCAUCACCGGUUGCCGACCAACGGCAGCGGCGGCUCCUCGAGCAGCCCCUCGCCGCCCUCCUCGUCGCCCAGCCCCUCACCGCCCCACACCGCCUCGUUCAUUUAUCGCGCUUAGCCUCCGGUGAGGAGCCUCUCCUCCUCGUCCUCCGGACCUUAUUGGAGCUAUUGGCGAUUGUAUUAAUAAUUGUAGGUGAGGACGGUUUGGGUGGGUAAGAUUUUUUUUUCGAUCGAUAAUGGCAACUAUUGUUCUUAUUACUACUACUACUACUACAGUACUGCUGUUGUUGGUUGGAGGUUCGUUGCUGGCCACUAUCUGUUUUUAGGGCACUAAUUCGGGUCGAAUUUUACCGUGAAAAGGAAAAAACCUUUCUUUCGUGUACCUAUUGUCUUCCAAUUAAAUCUACUAUAAAUGUGAAAGCAUUUUCUGUUACCUAUAUGUUGAAUCCAAGGUGAAGAGACCCGAAUUAGUAAACGAGAUCCCUGCAGCAGCGCCGUCUCUUGUCAUUUCAACCAACUUAAGUGACAAGUGACUUACUUACAACCAAAAUAAAAAAACCGUAGGCUAUUAUAGGUUUAGGAUGAUAAUUUUCAAAUUUCGAGAGUUAGAGGGACGUAGGGAUCUAGUGUUAGUAACGUGGGAUGAUUCGUCAAAAAAAAAAUGGCACUAAUUGGAUGACGCUGUCACUUGUCAUGUUUUUGCAGUGACAUUUGGGGGAUUUUUUUAAAUAAAUAUAUAUCUGUUAGCGUUGUAACCCCAAUUUUGACGUUGAACUAAAUGUUGCAACAUUGGCUUCUAUUAGUGACAACAAGUUAACUCCAACUUGGCAACGUUGGAACAUUCAUUGACAAAUGACAUUUAAAUUUGGUUAUGUUAUAGUCUUUGUAUAUGUCAUGAGCUGAGGUAAUUUCUGUGGUAUAUUAUUGACAACAAAUUAACUCCAACUUGGCAACGUUGACAUUCAUUGACAAAUGAAAUUUAAAUAUGGUUUUGUGUGUGUCAUGGGCUGAAGCAUAGAUAUUUGCUUAAUUAAAUCUGACUCUAGUCCUGUCUUUGAGCAUUUUAAACUGUCCAAGUGACAGAUAGAUAAUGUAACUAACGUCACUUGUCAGUUGUCACAUGGACAGGGUCGGACCGAAAAUAUUAAAAGCAGUGUUGCCAUUUGCGAUUUAAAUUUAUUCACUUAAAGAAUUGAAAAGUUGAUUUAAAUGUGGCAUCGUUGGCUUCUGUCAUUGACAAAUGGCAGUCGGACCUUCAAGUUUUGACUACCAUAUCAUUUGUCACAUAAUUAAUAUUUAUUUGCAUUAGCAUAUUUUUUAUGUGUCAUGGAAUAAAGUUUAAUAAUUUUCGAAAAUAUCUAAAUUAUAGAAUUUAUGCAUAAAUGUUUGGUUAUUUGAAUCUCACUCCGCUCCUGUCUUGAAUAGAUUUAACUGUCCAAGUGACAGAUAGACAAUGUACUUAAUGUCACUUGUCAGUUCUAACAAGGUCGGAUCUAAAAUAUCGAAUGCAGAGUUGCUGUUUGCUGGCCCUGUCAUUUGUCAAAUAAAUAAUUGACAAGUGACAUUUAAAUGAUAUUCUUGUUAUAUGUCAUGGGCUGAAUCUAAUUUGGAUUCUAAAAGUUACAGACUUGAUUUUAUAAUUAUUGGUCAUUUAUUUGGCAACGUUGCAAAGCCAUUGUUGCCGCUUAGUAUGCCAACAAUUUUGUAGAUGCUCGUUUCCGAAAAUAGAUGCGAUAAGUCUCCAUUUUAAUUUGUUUUUUGACCUGCAGUCCUACAUCACUCUAGGGUGAGAAUAAUCUGAAACAAUUCAUCAACUAAACUUGGCAACGUUGGUUUUUUUAUAUAGCGAACCUAUCAGUCAGUUUUUUGUAUAUAUAGUUCUAAAUUAAAUUUACAAAUGGCGCAACCUAAUCGUAUGCUAUGCGCAUACAAAGUAUCACUCUAUUUCCGGAUAAUAAUUGUAAAAAUGACAUAUACUAUUUAUUUUGAUAAAUAGCGAACUUCUUGGCAACGUUGGCGUUUUCAUUAAGCGAACUUAUCAAUCAGUUUUUUUGACAAAUGACAGUUUUCAUUACUUGACCUGUCAUUGGUCAAAAAGUGGCAAUACAUGAGGGCAAAUGACAUUCCUUAAUUUAGAGAGACUUGGCAACUGUGGCUCUUGUCACUUGUCAAUUCGUUUUUGUUUUUGACAAAUAAUGUUGGCUAGUUCACUUAAUAUAUCUCAGUACGCAAUAAAAACUUCAUAGGCGUACCUGGAAUAGUUUCUUAAUUAUCUCGCUUGAAAGUUGAUAUAACCAUCUAAGUUGGCCACUUUUAUAACCUUAGAUCCUGGGUCACAAAUUCCACUCUAACUAAGAGAGUUUUUAAGCUACAAGAGUCGUUUAUAUACGUAAUUAAUGUAUAAAGAAGGCUUUAACAUUCAACGAAAACUUCAUAGGAGUGCCUGGAAUAGUUUCUUAAUUAUCUCGCUUGAAAGUUGAUAUAACCCUCGAAAAUUACCACUGUUAGAGCCUUAGAUCCUGGGUCACAAAUUCCAUUCUAACUAAGAGAGUUUUUAAGCUACAAAAGUCGUUUAUAUACGUACUUAAUGUGUAAAGGAGACUUUAGCACUCAACGAAGACUUCAUAGGUGUGCCUGAAACAGUCCGUAACCGACUUGACAACGUUGGCAACUUAAUAUAGCAGCUCAGGUCACUUUUCAACGAACUUAUUCCUUCUUGACAAAUGACAGUUGAUUAUGUGGUAACUUCUAAACUUGACAACGUUGGAGUAUUUUUUUUUUGACAAAUGACAGUCUGAUUAACCUCACUUUGGUUGCCGUUUUUUUGACGAUCGUCUCGCAAAACAUUUAAAAAAAAAACUGUUAGACCUUUCGGGUUGGCGGUAGGCGAGCCCGAAACGACGUAAUCUCAAAAUGAAAAAAAAAUGAUAUAAAACAAAUAAGUGCUUCUUAUUGAUGUGUUAGAUAAGGAUAAAAAAAAAACCACAUAAGGAUAGAUUGUUAUAAUUUUAGCGAACAUUGUGAUUAGAUUGUAACAUAUAACGAUAUGAUAUUCUUAUAAAUUUAUUAUUGUAGGGAUGGUAUUUGUUUUGUUAUGAUUUACGUGCUUCUACCUAACCUAACAUUAGAAAUUGUGCGUUUUUGCUCAUAUGCGCCCGCACUAACAAAACCCGUUGUUAGUCCGGGGGAGUAUAUUAAAAAAAAAUAGUUUCUUUACUAUCAUUUGCGUCUAGUACUGUACAUAAGACUGAGGAAAAUACUCCAUUAAGUCCACUGUUAGUAUAAUAAACGUUAUUGUUUCGGGUUAUAGCGUAACAGUACAAAAUUCCUAAAAUCUUUUUUAGGUUCUGUUGCUAAAUGCGAUUAAUCUGCUCAAUUUUAGUUGUUCUGCAAAGCACUAAAAUGUCAAUUAUUUGGUAUUUCAUCGUGCGUCGAGGCUUUUUUGAUCUAUAAAUAUUUUUUUUGAGUCACUCUAUAACGUUAUAGCCACAUAGAUGCUUCCAUGACUAAAAUAUAAUUAUAUCACCCUGUAUAUUCUAUAAUGUAACGAAACUCAUCUACUGUAUAAAUCUAGGAUUGUUAACGAUGAUGCUACUUUGACACGAUCUCCAUUUUGUUUUUGAAUACCAAAUAUUUUUUUUUGUAAUUUUUAGGACUAAGUAGAGUUUUAUAUUUUGUUUGUUUGUUUUAUUUUUAUUUUUUUCUAGUACGUUUAGUUGGCAGAAAGAAUGAGGUUAUUCCCGGCAGGUGGGUAACAAAUAAAUGAAAAUAUUGAGGUUAUGUCAUUUGAUUUGUUAGUGACAGCUGUCCACGCUGCCAUAGGUUCGCAUUUUUGACAGCUGUCACUUGGAAAAUUAAUGACGUAAGUCAAAAUGGAGGAUAUUAUACGCAGGGUGGCCAUUUAGUGUUUUUUUCCAAAAAAAUCUUUCUUUUCUUUUUUUUGUAUUUACAUAUUCCUGGCUCUCCUUUUAAUAAGAAUUUUCUAAUUCUUCGGAGGAUCCUUGAUUACUAUGUCGCGUUGCCAGCUUGUAACGAUUUUGCAACAGUGGCAACGUCGAAUAAAAUAAAAUGUGUCAACUGUCAAACGUCAACAAAAUUUAAUGCUAACCUAAAAAUUUGACAUUGAUAUGCACAUUGAAAGUUUUCCUUGAUUUUUUCAUUUCAUUUAUUACGAAUGACUAAAUGGAAUUUAAUUCUACCUUUGGAUACAUUUUUAUAUAAUUCAAGGACUAAUGGUGACAGUGGCAACGUCGCACCUAAUCCAUAUAACCUAAAAGUCUGUCAACUGUCAAACGUCAAAAAAAGACUAAACACUGAUGACUAUAUUGGCAACGUUAUACCGUAUCAUCAAACUGUAAAAAAAAAUUGAAUCCUAACCUAAAGUUUGACACAGAAUUCAAUUCAAGGGAGGAAGUGAGAAAGGUAUGUCAAAGAACCUAAAAUGUCGUCUUUUUUAAAUACACUAUAACUGGCCACCCUGUAUAUAAAAAAAUGUCAUACAGACUUUACGGGGUUGCCACUUUGUAUGGAAACUGUCUUUACCCUAAAAUAUACGAGGUAAAAAACGUGGAAAAUUACCUAUAAUACCAGGUGAAUCAGAAAGUAUAAACGACAUUUAAAGGUUAUGUCAAUUGAUCAGGUAGUAUUUUGAGGUUAUGUCAAUUCUUUAAUUUUUUUAAGGGUUGUUGCCUAUGCAGCUUUUAUUGGGUGAGUCCAUGUUGAAAAACCUGAAUAUAUAUGUUUUUUUCAAAUAAUAACCUUGACGUUAUUCGAUUUUUUAAUCAUCUAAUAGUUUGAGGUUAUGUAAGAUUUUCAAUUAAACGAUUUUCUUAAUAGCCAUGACGUCAUGAAUAAUUUAACAUUUUGAGGUUAUAUAUUAAGUGUAAGAAAACUCUAACGUCAUCAGACUACUUUAAUCAUGUAGUAUUUUGAGGUUAUAUAAUUUUUAACCAUUUGCUCAGCCGUGACGUCAUAGAUCACGUAAUAUUUUGAGGUUAUGUCAAUUUUUUAGUUCUUUAAAGAUUGUUGCUAAUACAGGAUAGAGUGAGUGGAAUAAAAAGUAAAAAACAAUUUUAAAAAAUAUAAAAUUUUAUUAAAUAACAACCUUGACGUCAUCAGAUUAUUGUAAUAGUUUGAUACCAUUCUCUCAGCAGUAGUGACGUCAUAGAACAUUUUGAGGUUAUGGUUGAGUUUUUUUUAAGGGUUGUGACUACUACAGGACUGAUUGGGUGGGCUAAGAAACCUUAAAAAAAAACAAAAUUCUAUUAAAUGACAACCCUGACGUCAACCAACUCUUACACACGUAAUAGUUUAAGGUUAUGUUAUUUUUUAAAAUUUUAAACCGUUUUCUCUUUGAAAUUUGAGGUUAUAUCAUUUUUGUAAUUUUUUUAAGGGUUAUGGUCUUCUAAGGUAUGAUUGAGAUGAAAAAACAUCAUAAAAUACAUAAUUUUGCCAAAUAACAACUAUGACGUCGUCAGACUUUUUAGUCACGUAAUAUUUAGAGGUUAUGUAACGUUUUCUAAUUUUUUUGACAGCUUUCCCAACAGCCGUGACGUCAUAAAGCGUGUAAUAGUUUGAGGUUAUGCCAAUUUUUGGCUUUUCUAAUCGUUGUUGCUAAGACAGGAUUCAAUGGGUGGGAUAAAGCGUAAAAAAAAAUUAAGUAACAACUUUGACGUCAUCAUCCGAUUGUUGUAACAUUUUGAGGUUAUGUUAUUUUUUCCAAUUUAACCGUUUUCUCAAUAGCCGUGAAAUUAUGUAAAAUUUGGAGGUUAUGUUUUUGGUUUUUUAAAACGUUGUUGCCAAUUGGGUGGGUGGAGCAAAUAUUAAAAAACCUUAAAAAAAAUAUUAAAAAUUUUAUGAAAUAGCAACUCUGACGUCAUCAAACUCUUUAAUCAUGUUAUAGUUUUAGGUUAUGUAAUUUUUUCAAUUUUUUACCAACAGCCGUGACGUCAUAAAUCAUGCAAUAUUUUAAGGUUAUGUCAAAUUUUGGGUUCUUUAAGAGCUAAUUUGAUCAAAUAACAACCCUGACGUCAUCAGGCUCUCUAGUCAUGUAAUAGUUUGCGGUUAUGUUAUUGUUGGCCACGACAGCCAUGACGUCAUAGAUCAUGUGUUUUGAGGUUAUAUAAUGUUUUCUAAUUUUUUGACCGCUUUCUCAACAGCCGUGACGUCAUAAAUCAUGUAAUAGUUUGAGGUUAUGUCAAUUUUUGGCUUUUCUAACCGUUGUUGCUAAGACAUAAUUAAAUAGUUGAGCCAAAGAGUGAAAAACAUUAAAAAAAAACAAAAUGUUAUUAAAUAACAACUUUGACGUCAUCAUCAGAUUGUUGUAACUUUUGAGGUUAUGUCAAUUUUUGGGUUUUUUAAGAGCUAUUUCCAAUGCUAAUUCGAUCAAAUAACAACCCUGACGUCAUCAGGCUCUCUUGUCAUGUGAUAGUUUGAGGUUAUGUUAUUUUUGUCCACUUUUUAAUUGUUUUCUCAACAGCCGUGACGUCACAGAACAUGUAAUAUUUUGAGGUUAUGCCAAUUUUUGGCUUUUCUAACCGUUGUUGCUAAAACAGAAUUAAAUAGUUGAGCCAAAGAGUAAAAAACAUAGAAAAAAACAAAAUGUUAUUAAAUAACAACUUUGACGUCAUCAUCAGAUUGUUGUAACAUUUUGAGGUUAUGUCAAUUUUUGGGUUUUUUAAGAGCUAUUUCCAAUGCUAAUUUGACAUAUACCUAUUAUUCCUAUACUAAAGGUAUCCUAUACCGCACAUGAGAGGCGUAUGAAGCGAACAAUUUUGAGACAGAGAUAUGAUUCUCGCAUAAGUCCGUCUCUACCUCGGCCAUUGUCCCACUGCGUAUGCGCCAAAUAUCGUGCUGUUAUUGGUCAGUUUCUCGAACCGCUAUCAAAUUUAAAUUAAAUGAAAUUGGCGCGCUAAAUUCGGCUGAAUCCCCCUCUCUGCUCACUCCAUAAACGGAUCAAUAUAUUUAAGCAUGCGCAUAAAAAAAUGGUCGAGGUAGAGACAGAUUUAUGCGACUAUCAUAUCUCUGUCUCAAAAAUGUUUGCUUCACGAUCUGGCCGUAAUCGGUCGUAUAGGAAUAAUAGUUAUAUGUAAUUUGAUCAAAUAACAACCCUGACGUCAUCAGGCUCUCUAGUCAUCUAAUAGUUUGAGGUUAUGUUAUUUUUGUCCACUACAGCCAUGACGUCAUAAAUCAAUCAUGUGUUUUGAGGUUAUGUAAAGUUAUUUCAAUGUCUAUAGAAACUGUGACAUGGUAAUAUUCGUGUUCAACACUUUAAGGUUAUGUUAUUUUUUUGCACAUUGUUUGUUUAUUUCUAAAGCUCGUCUGUCCCC